UGCAAGUCGAACGAUGAUAUCACUGCUUGCAGUGAUUGAUUAGUGGCGAACGGGUGAGUAACACGUGAGGAACUUGCCCAUGAGCGGGGGACAACAUUCGGAAACGGAUGCUAAUACCCCAUAGGUGGAUUGGUCGCAUGACGAAUUCAUUAAAGGUGGCUCUGCUACCACUCAUGGAUAGCCUCGCGGCGUAUUAGCUAGUUGGUAAGGUAAUGGCUUACCAAGGCAGUGAUACGUAGCCGAUUUGAGAGGGUGAUCGGCCACACUGGGACUGAGACACGGCCCAGACUCCUACGGGAGGCAGCAGUAGGGAAUCUUCCACAAUGGGUGCAAACCUGAUGGAGCAAUGCCGCGUGAGUGAAGAAGGUCUUCGGAUCGUAAAGCUCUGUUGUUAGAGAAGAACACGUGCUAGGUAACUACUAGCGCCUUGACGGUAUCUAACCAGAAAGUCACGGCUAACUACGUGCCAGCAGCCGCGGUAAUACGUAGGUGACAAGCGUUGUCCGGAUUUAUUGGGCGUAAAGGGAGCGCAGGCGGUCUGUUUAGUCUAAUGUGAAAGCCCACGGCUUAACCGUGGAACGGCAUUGGAAACUGACAGACUUGAAUGUAGAAGAGGAAAAUGGAAUUCCAAGUGUAGCGGUGGAAUGCGUAGAUAUUUGGAGGAACACCAGUGGCGAAGGCGAUUUUCUGGUCUAACAUUGACGCUGAGGCUCGAAAGCGUGGGGAGCGAACAGGAUUAGAUACCCUGGUAGUCCACGCCGUAAACGAUGAGUGCUAAGUGUUGGGGGCUUUCCGGCCCUCGGUGCUGGAGCUAACGUAUUAAGCACUCCGCCUGGGGAUUACGACCGCA
RNAcentral lists this ribosomal RNA (850 nucleotides) under uncultured Dolosigranulum sp. RNAcentral's name for it is "bacterial SSU rRNA". It matches the Rfam family "Bacterial small subunit ribosomal RNA", at positions 56 to 890 of the family's 1533-position model. The record is from RNAcentral. Lineage: Bacteria; Bacillati; Bacillota; Bacilli; Lactobacillales; Carnobacteriaceae.